Molecule: transfer RNA, 20 nt
Filed under: Crocidura grayi (Luzon shrew)
Lineage: Eukaryota; Metazoa; Chordata; Mammalia; Eulipotyphla; Soricidae
Also listed under: 1 other name
Description: partial tRNA-Thr
Source: RNAcentral
AUAGAGCCUUAGUAGUAUAG